Molecule: transfer RNA, 89 nt
Filed under: Gemmataceae bacterium
Lineage: Bacteria; Pseudomonadati; Planctomycetota; Planctomycetia; Gemmatales; Gemmataceae
Description: tRNA-Ser
Rfam family: tRNA
About the family: Transfer RNA (tRNA) molecules are approximately 80 nucleotides in length. Their secondary structure includes four short double-helical elements and three loops (D, anti-codon, and T loops).
Source: RNAcentral
GGAGAGGUGGCUGAGUGGCCGAAAGCGCCGGUUUGCUAAAUCGGUGAUGGGAGAAAUCCCAUCCGCGGGUUCGAAUCCCGCCCUCUCCG